UUAAGCGACCAAGCGUACACGGUGGAUGCCCUGGCAGUCAGAGGCGAUGAAGGACGUGCUAAUCUGCGAAAAGCGCCGGCGAGGUGAUAUGAACCCUUGACCCGGCGAUGUCCGAAUGGGGAAACCCAGUGUGACUCGUCACACUAUCAUUAACUGAAUCCAUAGGUUAAUGAGGCGAACCGGGGGAACUGAAACAUCUAAGUACCCCGAGGAAAAGAAAUCAACCGAGAUUCCCCCAGUAGCGGCGAGCGAACGGGGAGGAGCCCAGAGCCUGAAUCAGCAGGUGUGUUAGUGGAAGUGUCUGGAAAGGCACGCGAUACAGGGUGAGAGCCCCGUACACGAAAAUGCACCUGCUGUGAGCUCGAUGAGUAGGGCGGGACACGUGGUAUCCUGUCUGAAUAUGGGGGGACCAUCCUCCAAGGCUAAAUACUCCUGACUGACCGAUAGUGAACCAGUACCGUGAGGGAAAGGCGAAAAGAACCCCGGCGAGGGGAGUGAAAAAGAACCUGAAACCGUGUACGUACAAGCAGUGGGAGCACAGGUUUACCUGUGUGACUGCGUACCUUUUGUAUAAUGGGUCAGCGACUUAUAUUCUGUAGCAAGGUUAACCGAAUAGGGGAGCCGGAGGGAAACCGAGUCUUAACCGGGCGUUAAGUUGCAGGGUAUAGACCCGAAACCCGGUGAUCUAGCCAUGGGCAGGUUGAAGGUUGGGUAACACUAACUGGAGGACCGAACCGACUAAUGUUGAAAAAUUAGCGGAUGACCUGUGGCUGGGGGUGAAAGGCCAAUCAAACCGGGAGAUAGCUGGUUCUCCCCGAAAGCUAUUUAGGUAGCGCCUCGUGAACUCAUCUCCGGGGGUAGAGCACUGUUUCGGCUAGGGGGCCAUCCCGGCUUACCAACCCGAUGCAAACUGCGAAUACCGGAGAAUGUUAUCACGGGAGACACACGGCGGGUGCUAACGUCCGUCGUGAAGAGGGAAACAACCCAGACCGCCAGCUAAGGUCCCAAAGUCAUGGUUAAGUGGGAAACGAUGUGGGAAGGCCCAGACAGCCAGGAUGUUGGCUUAGAAGCAGCCAUCAUUUAAAGAAAGCGUAAUAGCUCACUGGUCGAGUCGGCCUGCGCGGAAGAUGUAACGGGGCUAAACCAUGCACCGAAGCUGCGGCAGCGGCACGCAAGUGUUGUUGGGUAGGGGAGCGUUCUGUAAGCCGUUGAAGGUGUGCUGUGAGGCAUGCUGGAGGUAUCAGAAGUGCGAAUGCUGACAUAAGUAACGAUAAAGCGGGUGAAAAGCCCGCUCGCCGGAAGACCAAGGGUUCCUGUCCAACGUUAAUCGGGCAGGGUGAGUCGACCCCUAAGGCGAGGCCGAAAGGCGUAGUCGAUGGGAAACGGGGUUAAUAUUCCCGUACUUGGUGUUACUGCGAAGGGGGGACGGAGAAGGCUAUGUUGGCCGGGCGACGGUUGUCCCGGUUUAAGCGUGUAGGCUGGUUUUCCAGGCAAAUCCGGAAAAUCAAGGCUGAGGCGUGACGACGAGGCACCACGGUGCUGAAGCAACAAAUGCCCUGCUUCCAGGAAAAGCCUCUAAGCGUCAGGUAACAUCAAAUCGUACCCCAAACCGACACAGGUGGUCAGGUAGAGAAUACCAAGGCGCUUGAGAGAACUCGGGUGAAGGAACUAGGCAAAAUGGUGCCGUAACUUCGGGAGAAGGCACGCUGACAUGUAGGUGAAGCGGUUUACCCGUGGAGCUGAAGUCAGUCGAAGAUACCAAGCUGGCUGCAACUGUUUAUUAAAAACACAGCACUGUGCAAACACGAAAGUGGACGUAUACGGUGUGACGCCUGCCCGGUGCCGGAAGGUUAAUUGAUGGGGUCAGCGCAAGCGAAGCUCCUGAUCGAAGCCCCGGUAAACGGCGGCCGUAACUAUAACGGUCCUAAGGUAGCGAAAUUUCCUUGUCGGGUAAGUUCCGACCUGCACGAAUGGCGUAAUGAUGGCCAGGCUGUCUCCACCCGAGACUCAGUGAAAUUGAACUCGCUGUGAAGAUGCAGUGUACCCGCGGCAAGACGGAAAAGACCCCGUGAACCUUUACUAUAGCUUGACACUGAACACUGGUCCUUGAUGUGCAGGAUAGGUGGGAGGCUUUGAAGCGUGGACGCCAGUCUGCGUGGAGCCGUCCUUGAAAUACCACCCUUUAAUGGCUGGUGUUCUAACGUGGGCCCCUGACCGGGGUUGCGGACAGUGUCUGGUGGGUAGUUUGACUGGGGCGGUCUCCUCCCAAAAGAGUAACGGAGGAGCACGAAGGUUGGCUAAUCCUGGUCGACAUCAGGAGGUUAGUGCAAUGGCAUAAGCCAGCUUGACUGCGAGCGUGACGGCGCGAGCAGGUGCGAAAGCAGGUCAUAGUGAUCCGGUGGUUCUGAAUGGAAAGGGCCAUCGCUCAACGGAUAAAAGGUACUCCGGGGAUAACAGGCUGAUACCGCCCAAGAGUUCAUAUCGACGGCGGUGUUUGGCACCUCGAUGUCGGCUCAUCACAUCCUGGGGCUGAAGUAGGUCCCAAGGGUAUGGCUGUUCGCCAUUUAAAGUGGUACGCGAGCUGGGUUUAGAACGUCGUGAGACAGUUCGGUCCCUAUCUGCCGUGGGCGCUGGAAGAUUGAGGGGGGCUGCUCCUAGUACGAGAGGACCGGAGUGGACGCAUCACUGGUGUUCGGGUUGUCAUGCCAAUGGCACUGCCCGGUAGCUAAAUGCGGAAGAGAUAAGUGCUGAAAGCAUCUAAGCACGAAACUUGCCCCGAGAUGAAUCUUCCCUGAGACUUUAAGUCUCCUGAAGGAACGUUGAAGACGACGACGUUGAUAGGCCGGGUGUGUAAGCGCAGCGAUGCGUUGAGCUAACCGGUACUAAUGAACCGUGAGGCUUAACCUU
Molecule: ribosomal RNA, 2907 nt
Filed under: Salmonella bongori
Lineage: Bacteria; Pseudomonadati; Pseudomonadota; Gammaproteobacteria; Enterobacterales; Enterobacteriaceae
Description: 23S ribosomal RNA
Rfam family: Bacterial large subunit ribosomal RNA
Source: RNAcentral